This is an RNA transcript of Abrus precatorius (Indian licorice), 3295 nucleotides long. It is a transcript of the gene named dual specificity protein kinase shkB-like, with no coding region annotated. Lineage: Eukaryota; Viridiplantae; Streptophyta; Magnoliopsida; Fabales; Fabaceae. The transcript is spliced from 14 exons. The record is from RefSeq and is a predicted model, not a curated record.
AUAUCUGAAAAGAAGAGCAUAACUGUUGACCUUUGCAAAACCACACACAUUCGUUCUGUUCUUCUUUCUCAAAAGUUGGGUACGAAGUUGAUAAACUGUAUCAUGUUCUUAGCAUUCUGCGAGUGACGACACAGAGUCGCGUGUAUUACUGAUAAAAGUGAAAAAUGGGUACCCCAGAAGAAGAACAAGAGCUUCACAAGAAGAUACAACGGCUAGAAGUUGGUCACCUUCAUCUUAAGCAUCAAAUGUCCAAGCUCAAGCACCGUUCAGAGUUAGGUGCGACGUGUAACAAACCAUCUUAUUUGCCCUUGCAGAGAGAGAAUCGUAGUCAUGGCCAUUAUCUCAAUAUUUUGCAGUCAAUGGGUCAUUCUGUUCAUAUUUUGGAUCCUCAAUGUCGUAUCAUUUUCUGGAACCCUAGUGCUGCAAAUCUGUAUGGUUAUGCAGCAGAUGAAGUUCUUGGGCAUGAUGGGAUUGAGUUGCUUGUGGAUCCAAGGGAUUUUGCUUUAGCCAAUGAUGUAUUCAACCAUGUCAAAAUGGGAGGAAGUUGGAGGGGGAAAUUCCCUGUUAAGAAUAAGAUGGGGGAUAGGUUCUUAGCCGUGGCAACCAAUACACCUUUCUAUGAUGAUGAUGGAAGCUUGGUUGGGGUUAUAUGUGUCUCAUGUGACUCACGGCCAUUUCUUGAAACCAUAAUGCCCUUUUCAGGUGUUAAGAAUGAAGAGGCGGAUUCGGGUUCUAACCGGCUUAAGAGUAGCAUUACGGAUAAACUUGGCCUUGACUCUCAGCAGCCACUUCAAGUUGCUCUGGCAUCCAAAAUUUCAAAUUUGGCGUCAAAAGUGAGUAACAAAGUUAAGUCUAGAAUCCGGACUAGGGAAAAUAAUGUUGACAGUGAAGGUGGGAGUGGAGAAAGUCAUCAUUCUGAGCAUAGUUUCUCGGACUGCAUUCUUUCUGACCAGAGAGAGGAUGGUAAUUCCAGUGGAGCUAGCACACCGAGAGAAGAGGUGCUACAAUCUCCGUUUGGUCAUGCUGAAGAAAAAUCCCAAGGAAGAACUAUGAGAGACUCAGGUGAUCGGAGUGAAGGAAAACCUAUUCACAAGAUGAUAACUUCUAGAGCUGAAACAUGGAUUCAAAAGAAAGCAUUGUCAUGGCCAUGGAGAGCAAAUGAUCGGGAAGGAUCUGAUGCAAGGAAUGUUCAUGUUGCUUGGCCUUGGUUGCCAGGUGAUCAAGAAAAUGAGUCAAUUAAUCAGAAGAAUAUUUCUUCUGGGUUGAAGCCAGACAGCCAGACAGGCAAAACUAAUCAGCCUGUUAAUAAUGAGGCUUUAGGAUCCUGGUCAUCCUUUAAUGUUAACAGCACAAGUAGUAACAGCAGCUGUGGGAGUGGCAGCAGUUCUGCCGCCAAUAAUAAAGUGGAUGUUGACUCUGAUUGCUUGGAUUAUGAAAUUUUGUGGGAGGACCUGACAAUUGGAGAACCAAUUGGGCAAGGUUCUUGUGGAAUUGUAUAUCAUGCUCUGUGGUAUGGAUCGGAUGUUGCUGUCAAGGUAUUCUCAAAGCAAGAGUAUUCAGAUGAUGUGCUACUGUCCUUCAGACAAGAGGUAUCUAUGAUGAAAAGACUUCGUCAUCCAAAUGUUAUUCUCUUUAUGGGGGCUGUAACUUCACCUCAACGUCUAUGCAUUGUAACAGAAUUUCUCCCACGAGGAAGCUUGUUUCGUUUGCUUCAGAGAAACACAUCCAAAUUAGAGUGGAGAAGGCGGGUUCAUAUGGCCUUAGAUAUUAAAGGGUCUCUAUCAUUGUCAUUGAAGCAAUGGUGUAUGCUUACUCUUUCUAUAGGCACGAGGUGUAAAUUAUCUCCAUCAUUGCAACCCCCCUAUCAUCCAUCGAGAUUUAAAGUCUUCAAAUAUUCUUGUUGACAAGAAUUGGACUGUGAAGGUUGGUGAUUUUGGUCUUUCGCGUCUUAAGCAUGAAACAUAUCUCAGUACUAGGACAGGAAAGGGCACGCCUCAAUGGAUGGCACCAGAGGUUCUUCGUAAUGAACUGUCAGAUGAGAAGUCUGAUGUUUACAGCUUUGGGGUGAUAUUGUGGGAACUUGCAACUGAAAAGAUCCCGUGGGAUAGUCUCAACCCAAUGCAGUUUCUCUAGGAUUCUUGCAGGUUAUUGGAGCUGUUGGAUUUAUGAACCAUCGGCUGGAAAUUCCAGAAGAUGUUGAUCCACAGUGGGCUUCUAUAAUUGAGAGCUGCUGGCAAAGCAUUCUGGCAAUGCUGGUAAGAUUUAAGCUAGUGCACUAAAGAGCUGCAUGAGGCACGGCUCUUACCUGAUGGGAUUGGGGAAGGUAGAUGCAUUCAGCCUUAACUCCCCAAAUAGAGAGGGUGUUUCCAUGAUUUGUGACCUCCAAGUCAUAAGGCAGCAACUAUUUCAUUGUACCAUGUCUCGCCCUCAGAUUUAGCUAUGCAAUAUUUUAGAAAAAAAGAAUAGUUGUUAGAAUUAAUGGAGAUAGUUUGUAUAGAAUGACUACAUAUCAAGUAUCUUGUUAAAAAUCAGACACACACGGGCAAAACAAUCUUUUGGUGGAGAGUACUGCUGUGAUCCAACUUGCCGACCAACUAUCCAGGAACUGCUGGAAAGACUAAGAGAAAUGCAGAGACAGUGUGUAAUUCAAUUUCAGGCAGCUCGAUCUGCUGUUGAGGAAGGCACUCAAAAGGAGUUCUAGCCAGUAGCCACAAUCUUUGAGAUUGUUUUUGUCCCAGUGACUGGUGCAUAUGGUAUUUUUUGCUUGCAUAAUACAAAACAUUCCUGAUGAGUAUAUAUGUUGCUAGAAAUAGCAUGUCUGGAGUCCUGCAGCAUUACUGGUUCAUAAACAUUUGCCCAGGUAUCUUCAUAUAAGUGGGGAGUGGUUACCAAACGAUUUUAGUCUAUUGAUAUUUUAGUGGCACCAUAGAAGUUCUUAAAUUAUUUGUGAUGCUGUUUGUUUGGAGUCUUGUGAAUAGGUUUCCAUCGUCAUCUUUGUAAUUUUUAUGGAAAAUGUUUGUAUAAAAAGAUAGGGUGAUAAAAAAAGAAGCCUACGAAAGAACUUUCAUUUUACUAUCAUAGAAUGGAAUCGGAAACUUCCAAUUCUUCUUACUGUGAUAGUUGUGGUUGGAUCUCUAUCGUUAUCCACUUUAAGCAACAAACAAGGCAACAGCUUAACACGUUGGACUUGUACUUUUUAGUUCCAUUUUCAUUAUUUAUUAUCCACAAUAACUCCAAAGCAUGUAGUUUGUAAAUUUCCAUUGCAGCUCCAUUGUCUGUGCCAUUUUUCAGAAAU